Molecule: non-coding RNA, 1063 nt
Organism: Monodelphis domestica (gray short-tailed opossum)
Lineage: Eukaryota; Metazoa; Chordata; Mammalia; Didelphimorphia; Didelphidae
Source: RefSeq, a predicted model, not a curated record
CUCCACGUUGCCCUUGCUCAGGGCCAGGUCCACGUUGGCGAUGGUGAUGCGGAUCUCCUCAGGGGUGCCGCUGAACUCAUUAAUGGCGUCCUGCAUGAUCUUGGUGGCUUCGUGCUGAAAUAGCGAACACGACCCCGGAAUAAGCACGGAACAAAUCGUCUGCUUCCAUCGGCAUGCUGACUCCCACAGUUCUUCCUGGGGUGGAGAGCAUUCCUGGUUAAACGGCGCCCAGGACUGUCCUGGAUCACUGGAUUGCUCUUAGGAGCAAGGCCUGUCGCCACUGGCCCAUCCCACAAUAUUGCCGUUACUGUGUACCAUGUUCUCCUGGCUCUGCCCAUUUCACCGCAUCAGCUCUCGGAGGUCUUCCCGACUCUUCCUGACAUGAUCCUGUUCAUCACUUUUUGCAGCAUGACAGUAUUCCAUCACCACCCUCAUGUGCCACAGUUUGUCCAGCCAUUCCCCAAUUGAUGGACGGACAUACCUUCAUCUUCCAAUUUUUGCCACCAAAGUGCAUCUAGGCACAUUUUUUAAAAUUAUCUCUUCAGGGUACAAACCCAGUAGUGGUAUGGCUGGACCAAAGGGCUGGCAGGCAUUUAAAGCCCUUUGGGCAGAAUUCCAAACUGCCCUCUAGAAUGGUUGGAUCAGUUCACAAUUCCACCAGCAGUGUAUUAAUGUCACAAUUUUGCUGUCCCCCCACCCCAAUUUAUCAUUUUCUUUAAUGUCAUAUUGGCCAAUCUGAGAGGUGUGGGGUGACUCCUCAGAAUUGUUUUAAUUUGCAUUUCUCUAAUCAGGAGAGAUUUAGAACAUUUUUUCACAUGAUUAUUGAGAGCUUUGAUUUCUUCAUCUGAAAAUUGCUUAUUCCUAUCUUUUGACCAUUUGUCAAUUGGGGAAUGACUUUGUUUCUUAUAAAUUUGACUUAGUUCUUUGAGAAAUGAUGCCUUUGUCAGAGAAAUUUGUUAUAAAAAAUUUCCCCCAGUUCGUUGCUUCCCUUCUUAUCUUGGUUACAUUGGUUUUGUUUGUACAAAAUCUUUUUAAUUUAAUAUAAUUAAAAUUAUUCAUUUUA